This 240-nucleotide unclassified non-coding RNA is filed under the name soil metagenome. Its description in RNAcentral is "partial contains 5.8S ribosomal RNA, internal transcribed spacer 2, and large subunit ribosomal RNA". The record is from RNAcentral.
AACCAUAGAAACCUGCGGAGUACCUGCGGAGGGAUCAUUACCACGAGGUUUCAAUACCUUUCCACAUUUGUUAACCACGAUUGUGUGACGCGUCUCGGCGCGGAUCACAAUUUCAUCCGCAAGGAUGAACCACGAUUCAACUGCCAGUCCGUAAAAAAGACUGGGAGUGGAGUCCAACCUGAGUUGAUCGGGUGCGCCUCAUUUACUUGAGGAGCGCCCGGUCGAUUCAAACCAAACUUG